CUCAGGAUGAACGCUAGCUACAGGCUUAACACAUGCAAGUCGAGGGGCAGCAUGGUCUUAGCUUGCUAAGGCCGAUGGCGACCGGCGCACGGGUGAGUAACACGUAUCCAACCUGCCGUCUACUCUUGGACAGCCUUCUGAAAGGAAGAUUAAUACAAGAUGGCAUCAUGAGUCCGCAUGUUCACAUGAUUAAAGGUAUUCCGGUAGACGAUGGGGAUGCGUUCCAUUAGAUAGUAGGCGGGGUAACGGCCCACCUAGUCUUCGAUGGAUAGGGGUUCUGAGAGGAAGGUCCCCCACAUUGGAACUGAGACACGGUCCAAACUCCUACGGGAGGCAGCAGUGAGGAAUAUUGGUCAAUGGGCGAGAGCCUGAACCAGCCAAGUAGCGUGAAGGAUGACUGCCCUAUGGGUUGUAAACUUCUUUUAUAAAGGAAUAAAGUCGGGUAUGGAUACCCGUUUGCAUGUACUUUAUGAAUAAGGAUCGGCUAACUCCGUGCCAGCAGCCGCGGUAAUACGGAGGAUCCGAGCGUUAUCCGGAUUUAUUGGGUUUAAAGGGAGCGUAGAUGGACGUUUAAGUCAGUUGUGAAAGUUUGCGGCUCAACCGUAAAAUUGCAGUUGAUACUGGAUAUCUUGAGUGCAGUUGAGGCAGGCGGAAUUCGUGGUGUAGCGGUGAAAUGCUUAGAUAUCACGAAGAACUCCGAUUGCGAAGGCAGCCUGCUAAGCUGCAACUGACAUUGAGGCUCGAAAGUGUGGGUAUCAAACAGGAUUAGAUACCCUGGUAGUCCACACGGUAAACGAUGAAUACUCGCUGUUUGCGAUAUACUGCAAGCGGCCAAGCGAAAGCGUUAAGUAUUCCACCUGGGGAGUACGCCGGCAACGGUGAAACUCAAAGGAAUUGACGGGGGCCCGCACAAGCGGAGGAACAUGUGGUUUAAUUCGAUGAUACGCGAGGAACCUUACCCGGGCUUAAAUUGCAGAUGAAUUACGGUGAAAGCCGUAAGCCGCAAGGCAUCUGUGAAGGUGCUGCAUGGUUGUCGUCAGCUCGUGCCGUGAGGUGUCGGCUUAAGUGCCAUAACGAGCGCAACCCUUGUUGUCAGUUACUAACAGGUUCCGCUGAGGACUCUGACAAGACUGCCAUCGUAAGAUGUGAGGAAGGUGGGGAUGACGUCAAAUCAGCACGGCCCUUACGUCCGGGGCUACACACGUGUUACAAUGGGGGGUACAGAGGGCCGCUACCACGCGAGUGGAUGCCAAUCCCCAAAACCUCUCUCAGUUCGGACUGGAGUCUGCAACCCGACUCCACGAAGCUGGAUUCGCUAGUAAUCGCGCAUCAGCCACGGCGCGGUGAAUACGUUCCCGGGCCUUGUACACACCGCCCGUCAAGCCAUGGGAGCCGGGGGUACCUGAAGUGCGUAACCGCGAGGAGCGCCCUAGGGUAAAACUGGUGACUGGGGCUAAGUCGUA
RNAcentral lists this ribosomal RNA (1463 nucleotides) under uncultured bacterium. RNAcentral describes it as "bacterial SSU rRNA". It matches the Rfam family "Bacterial small subunit ribosomal RNA". The record is from RNAcentral.